RNAcentral lists this ribosomal RNA (464 nucleotides) under uncultured bacterium. RNAcentral describes it as "partial 16S ribosomal RNA". It matches the Rfam family "Bacterial small subunit ribosomal RNA", at positions 339 to 795 of the family's 1533-position model. The record is from RNAcentral.
CUACGGGGGGCAGCAGUGGGGAAUAUUGCACAAUGGGCGCAAGCCUGAUGCAGCCAUGCCGCGUGUAUGAAGAAGGCCUUCGGGUUGUAAAGUACUUUCAGCGGGGAGGAAGGGAGUAAAGUUAAUACCUGUGCUCAUUGACGUUACCCGCAGAAGAAGCACCGGCUAACUCCGUGCCAGCAGCCGCGGUAAUACGGAGGGUGCAAGCGUUAAUCGGAAUUACUGGGCGUAAAGCGCCCGCAGGCGGUUUGUUAAGUCAGAUGUGAAAUCCCCGGGCUCAACCUGGGAACUGCAUCUGAUACUGGCAGGCUAGAGUGUCGUAGAGGGGGGGAGAAUUCCAGGUGUAGCGGUGAAAUGCGUAGAGAUCUGGAGGAAUACCGGUGGCGAAGGCGGCCCCCUGGACGAAGACUGACGCUCAGGUGCGAAAGCGUGGGGAGCAAACAGGAUUAGAUACCCGAGUAGUC